Molecule: long non-coding RNA, 302 nt
Organism: Suncus etruscus (white-toothed pygmy shrew)
Lineage: Eukaryota; Metazoa; Chordata; Mammalia; Eulipotyphla; Soricidae
Exons: 3
Source: RefSeq, a predicted model, not a curated record
CCUCUUCUAGAACAGAUCCUGAGGUCAUUCAGAAGGUGUUCUGGAAUAUUGGCGACCCGUAGAAGGAACAGACUCCAGUGGAAAGAGGUGGGCCUCUUCUUGGCAGCCCAGUGAUCAGAGUCUCCUGUAUUGGCAUCAGAACAGCCUAAACCCUUCCAUGUGAUUUCUAGAACCAUUGGCGUUAACACUUUGCUGGAUUUUCUGACACGGGCCACCCAGGACACAUUGGGAAGAUAAAAGCCAUCGACAGGAGCCCCUGGGACCAGGAGAUCUGUCCGAGGACACUUAGAGAACAGCCCAGG